CCGCAAAACGCGGACGCCUUUACAGCACUUUACGACGGCUUCUGUGCGGCGCGGAGCCGGUGGAGCGGGUCGGGAGGUCGGGUGCGCGCUGGCCGCGGGGCUGGACCACAGUAGACCCUGUGGCUGCCUGGGGCGCGGAGUUUUUUAGGCGCCCCACAACAGUGAGCAGGAAAAGCGUGGCACGUUCGCACCGUCCAGGACUGGUCAGCGGUGUGAACGAAUGAAGUCCUUCAGCACGAGACGGCGUGGGCGGGGCUCACAGGAAGUGCAGCCACAGACCCCUUGGAGACGGCCCGUCGCUGCCGUGGCAGAGUCUGCAGGUUCGUGAGUACGGUUUGACGGAUGUGAAAGCGCACAGCCACGGGCCCACCACCCAGAUCGCGAUGCGGACCCUCCCGGCCUCACAGAAGGCUCCCUCUGUCCCCUCCCGGGGGUGCCGCCCCUCCGCACAGUGACCGUUGUUGGACCUCAGGGCCAUGCACUGGUUUGUGUGUUCGUAUAACGGCAGCCCUGCUGCGCUGAACUCUUUCCUGGCUGGCUUCUCGGGCGCAGCCUCGCUUCGCCCGUGUGGAUUUCUACACCAGAAGUUUCCUCUUUUUCCUUGCUGGAUGGUAUUCCCCUGCGUGAUGCGUCACAACCUCGUUCUCUUUUUAGUGUCGUUGGAUGUUUGCGUUGUUUUAGUUUGGGGUCAGUAGGAAUAAAUAAAUCUGCUGGGGACGUGGUUGUAUCCGUCUUCUGUGGAACACGGCACUCAUUUCUGUUGGGUCCGGUGCCCAGGAACUGGAAUUGCUAGGUUAUAGGACAGGUGUGCUUUUACCCUGGUGGGCAGAGCCAGCAGCUUUCCACAGUGGACAGCUGACGCGUCCACUGCCUGCUGGUGAGAGUUCCAGGCUCUCCGUGUGCUCGCCCACGUGUGGUGUUGCAGGCCCCUUGAGUCUUAGUGGGCGUGUGGAUCUCUCACUGUGGUUUUAAUUUCCAGUUCCCUGAUGAUUAAUGAUGGUAAUCACCUCAUGUGUGAUUGAUUUUUCUAAGUAAAUGUUUUUUUUUGUUUUGUUUUUUUAAAGGCAAAAGUAUUUUUCUCCCCCGUCACAGUGUUAUUUUGGUGCUGGGUCUGUAUCUGUGAGUAAACCUGUUUUCUCCUAAGACGCUGUCACCGCUGGCACAGUGACCGUGUGGCCUGAAGAAUAAAGUUACGCCCAGGGAGAGCCCCAAGGUGGGGGCACCCCUCAUUCUGGCCCUGCUGCCAGAAGUCAUGUGAGCUGGGACCAUUUUGCCAUCCUCAGCUGAAUGCUUUAAUCAGGAUGACUCUCAGACACGCCGUAGGAUGCGGGAACCUUCCUCUGUGGAAGGAGUGGGCUGGAACGGGAGAAUCCCAGAUCAGUGGGCGGAUGGGCCUGGACUCUCGGCGGGGCUCUGCUUCCUUUCGUGGGUCUAACCCCCAGAACAAGUCUCUUCCUCCUCCUCCUCUACCUGCUUUUAACAGAUUUUGAUUUGAAAAUAAGCAAUACUAUAAUUCCUUACACCGGGAACUUAGCAUAACCAAAAUAUAAGAAAUGUUAAAGCCAUAUGAGUUGUUAUUAAAUGCGUGUGCCAAUCAGCUGUGUAGACCUCGGUUCUUCAGCUUUGGCAAUGUGGUCACUUGUGAUGCAGACUGAUAUUUUUUCCCAUGAUAAACCUAGAAGCUUUUUUAACCAAAAUUAAACCCCUGAAACCCCUGCCUCUAUCAAAUUGCAGAAUUUCCACAAACUUCAUUCUCUUGGAGGGGAUUUGGUUUCGGGUUUUCUAAAACCUGGGCGGGCGGUGGGAUGUGACUCACCCUAACCUCAUUUGCUUGCAUUUUACUUUGUUUCUUUGGGUUUUUUUGUUUUGCAGUAACAUUUUUUUGUUGUGCCUGAGUAGCAGUGUUUCCUUUCAGCAUUGUUAAACUGUGCACUGUCAGAGCUCCUUACUUUUUUU
Phyllostomus discolor (pale spear-nosed bat) is the source of this 1956-nucleotide long non-coding RNA. RefSeq lists it as uncharacterized. The transcript is spliced from 2 exons. Lineage: Eukaryota; Metazoa; Chordata; Mammalia; Chiroptera; Phyllostomidae. The record is from RefSeq and is a predicted model, not a curated record.